CUGAUUACCAGUUUUUUGAACUGUGCAUCUGAUAGGUUAGCUAUCACUUCAUCAUUUAGUUGUAUUUUUUUCCCACAGCUUUGAUCUGUUCUUUUAUGUGGGCCAU
Molecule: long non-coding RNA, 106 nt
Organism: Phyllostomus discolor (pale spear-nosed bat)
Lineage: Eukaryota; Metazoa; Chordata; Mammalia; Chiroptera; Phyllostomidae
Exons: 2
Source: RefSeq, a predicted model, not a curated record